CUUAGCACCAUCCACUUGGCACGCCUAUGCCCGCAUGUGGUCUGAAUGGGACAAUUUCUGUGCGUCCAGGGGAGCCGACGCUGCUCAGGGGUCUAGGGACAACUUACAUGAUUGGCUGGCACUACCCCCGGGGUGAAGCGAAUCUGGAUUGUGGGCCACUCCUUUGUCCACUGGGCCUCCCUACGCUGUGCGUCCCUCCCAUUUGGCCAAUCCCUAGGUCUCCCUCCCAACAAGGCAUCCGUUAGGUGGUUGGGUGAUAGGGGGAUGUGCUGGCCCCAAUUAGCAGGAACCAUAUCUGAGGCCCUGGUACGCUGGGGGAAGCCUCACAUUAUUAUUCUUCACCUAGGGGGUAACGAUGUGGGGGCCAUACCAGUUUUACAGUUGAUUAAGGUUAUGCAGGCAGACAUUGGGUGGCUAAGAGUACGCAUCCCGGGGGUCAUGAUAGGGUGGUCCCAUAUAAUACCCCGUCUCCACUGGAGGCAUAUGUCGGCCCAUACGGCGGCAUACCGGGUUAGGAAGAAGAUCAAUGCGUCUGUAGCAAAAACCGUCACUGGGUCAGGUGGCUUCGUGGUACGGCACGAAGCCAUUUCGGCUGAUAGAACCGAGCUAUAUAGAAGGGAUAAAGUUCACCUUUCAGAUGUGGGGCUGGAUUUAUUCAUAGGGGACAUUCAGAGAGCUCUGUUACCCCUCCUGUAAAUCGGGUCGUGGGUUGGCGGCAAGGGUACCAUUAAAAUGCUUCCUUGUGGCGGGAGAUCCUCGGUCCGGUUGCGCAGGAGAAGGUCGCUAGGGGUGAGUGAUGGCCAGACUUCCGGGGAGGGGGGUAGGCCCUCACGUGCACGUGACGGUAACCCUCCUUCCUCCCUUUUUGAGGGAUGGUCACGUGAUCUCUGCAACCCCUCAGCGUCAUCUCCUUAGGGCAGAGACCCCUCUGCUGCUGUUCCCGUUGGGCCGGUGAUCUCCUGCUGUUCUGGGUAGCUGAUCUCUAUGCCGCCAUAUAUAUUUUCAGUUCUAUCAGUUCUAUCUAGUUUGUUAGGUUAAUAAAAUUUUAUGGCCUGUGACGGUCACAAAAUUUUCCCAUAAAAAGUUUGUCUGUGGUUAUUUCGCACUACAUUCUCAUGUACAUAGUUAUUUAAUUAAGUUAUGUUAAAUCCUCUCCUCUGUGAAGAAGGAUCCGGUAAGCAUUUAAUCCCUUAAUGCAGUGUAGGGCUUAGUAUAAGCCUGGAGCAGUCUAAGGGUUAAGGCUGUAGGAGAGUGGGUUAGAAGAGAGAGGGAAGGUGCUGGGUGCAACAUUGUUGCAAUUUAGGGUAGGCCCCUCCUUACCAGUAGAUAAGCCAAGUUCUCCCUUGCAACUUCCUCUUCUUCUCCGGAUCCUGGCUGAAGCAGUUUUUUCCCCUCCCUCCCUUCCCCUUUUGUAAUGUUUUAAUGAUGUUGUAUUUUCGACGGCACCUUAAUGGCAGGGCUAUGGCUACUCACCCUAGGCCCAAUAAGCCAUUACUGUAGGAUAUGGAUCUCCUCUCCCUGUUAUGCGGUUUACACGGCUUGGUAACAGGGAAUCCUUAUCUAGGUGGAAGAUCUUCUUUUCACCCUGGCGGCGGGAGAUCCUCGGUCCGGUUGCGCAGGAGAAGGUCGCUAGGGGUGAGUGAUGGCCAGACUUCCGGGGAGGGGGGUAGGCCCUCACGUGCACGUGACGGUAACCCUCCUUCCUCCCUUUUUGAGGGAUGGUCACGUGAUCUCUGCAACCCCUCAGCGUCAUCUCCUUAGGGCAGAGACCCCUCUGCUGCUGUUCCCGUUGGGCCGGUGAUCUCCUGCUGUUCUGGGUAGCUGAUCUCUAUGCCGCCAUAUAUAUUUUCAGUUCUAUCAGUUCUAUCUAGUUUGUUAGGUUAAUAAAAUUUUAUGGCCUGUGACGGUCACAAAAUUUUCCCAUAAAAA
Bombina bombina (fire-bellied toad) is the source of this 1929-nucleotide long non-coding RNA. RefSeq lists it as uncharacterized. The record is from RefSeq and is a predicted model, not a curated record. NCBI's taxonomy places the organism in Eukaryota, Metazoa, Chordata, Amphibia, Anura, Bombinatoridae. The transcript has 2 exons.